This 735-nucleotide ribosomal RNA is filed under the name uncultured Staphylococcus sp. Its description in RNAcentral is "bacterial SSU rRNA". It matches the Rfam family "Bacterial small subunit ribosomal RNA", at positions 59 to 776 of the family's 1533-position model. The record is from RNAcentral. Lineage: Bacteria; Bacillati; Bacillota; Bacilli; Caryophanales; Staphylococcaceae.
AAGUCGAGCGAACGGACGAGAAGCUUGCUUCUCUGAUGUUAGCGGCGGACGGGUGAGUAACACGUGGAUAACCUACCUAUAAGACUGGGAUAACUUCGGGAAACCGGAGCUAAUACCGGAUAAUAUUUUGAACCGCAUGGUUCAAAAGUGAAAGACGGUCUUGCUGUCACUUAUAGAUGGAUCCGCGCUGCAUUAGCUAGUUGGUAAGGUAACGGCUUACCAAGGCAACGAUGCAUAGCCGACCUGAGAGGGUGAUCGGCCACACUGGAACUGAGACACGGUCCAGACUCCUACGGGAGGCAGCAGUAGGGAAUCUUCCGCAAUGGGCGAAAGCCUGACGGAGCAACGCCGCGUGAGUGAUGAAGGUCUACGGAUCGUAAAACUCUGUUAUUAGGGAAGAACAUAUGUGUAAGUAACUGUGCACAUCUUGACGGUACCUAAUCAGAAAGCCACGGCUAACUACGUGCCAGCAGCCGCGGUAAUACGUAGGUGGCAAGCGUUAUCCGGAAUUAUUGGGCGUAAAGCGCGCGUAGGCGGUUUUUUAAGUCUGAUGUGAAAGCCCACGGCUCAACCGUGGAGGGUCAUUGGAAACUGGAAAACUUGAGUGCAGAAGAGGAAAGUGGAAUUCCAUGUGUAGCGGUGAAAUGCGCAGAGAUAUGGAGGAACACCAGUGGCGAAGGCGACUUUCUGGUCUGUAACUGACGCUGAUGUGCGAAAGCGUGGGGAUCGAACAGG